GUGAAUCAUCAAAUUUUUGAACGCAAAUUGCGCUUCCUAGCAUCCCGGGGAGUAUGCCUGUUUGAGGGUCAGUAUUAACAAAAAAAUCGGUCUUGUUGCAAAUUGUGACGUUUCCGGAGGUUGGGCUAUCUUAACUUUUUUGGUUAAGGGGCUUAAAAUUGACCUUGUUUGCGCAUUUUUAGACUUACAUAAAUUUUUUUUUUUUGGUUUAUUUCUUAUUCCGA
Molecule: unclassified non-coding RNA, 224 nt
Filed under: Rhizophagus sp. (in: glomeromycetes)
Lineage: Eukaryota; Fungi; Glomeromycota; Glomeromycetes; Glomerales; Glomeraceae
Description: partial contains 5.8S ribosomal RNA and internal transcribed spacer 2
Rfam family: 5.8S ribosomal RNA (bases 1-71)
Source: RNAcentral